Molecule: ribosomal RNA, 494 nt
Filed under: uncultured bacterium
Lineage: Bacteria
Description: bacterial SSU rRNA
Rfam family: Bacterial small subunit ribosomal RNA
Source: RNAcentral
CGGCGUGCCUAACACAUGCAAGUCGUACAAGAAAGUCGGCUUCGGCUGAUGAGUAAAGUGGCGCACGGGUGAGUAACGCGUGGAUAAUCUGCCCUUGAGUGUGGAAUAACGUACCGAAAGGUGCGCUAAUACCGCAUAAUGCCUGGCAACACAAGUUGUCCGGCCAAAGAAAGGCCUCUGUUUACUAAGCUUUUGCUCAAGGAUGAGUCCGCGUACCAUUAGCUAGUUGGUGGGGUAACGGCCUACCAAGGCUACGAUGGUUAGCUGGUCUGAGAGGAUGAUCAGCCACACUGGAACUGAGACACGGUCCAGGACUCCUACGGGAGGCAGCAGUGAGGAAUAUUGCGCAAUGGGGGCAACCCUGACGCAGCAACGCCGCGUGAGUGAGGAAGGUUUUCGGACUGUAAAGCUCUGUCGAGCGGGAAGAAAUGUAUCAUGGCUAAUAUCCAUGAUACUUGACGGUACCGCUAAAGGAAGCACCGGCUAACUCCGUG